GGAACUUUGAUUUUUCAAAAACAAUGAAGAGGAAGACAAAGAGGUUAAAAGAUCCGAUGGAUAUCCGAUAGUGAUAUGGGUUUUUUGAUAUAGACUGGUUGGAUCUGUAAUUGUUUUAUUUUAGUGAGGAUAAGGUUGUAUUUUAACCAAUUUUCGAUUUUUUUAAUUAAUUUUUUUUUUUCCUUUUGGCCAAACCCUUAUGAGAAUAGAAGAAUGAGUCAAAGGGUACAAGAGAUUCAAGUGGAUGAAGGAUUUGAAUCUCUUGUGCCCUUUGACCAUAAUUUAUAUACUUGCCUACCCUUGUGUGUUCUAAGUACCCCUUGACUUAUAUUGACUAA
This 338-nucleotide long non-coding RNA is filed under the name Capsella rubella. RNAcentral describes it as "long non-coding RNA (CRUB_LNC000558)". The record is from RNAcentral. Lineage: Eukaryota; Viridiplantae; Streptophyta; Magnoliopsida; Brassicales; Brassicaceae.